This 165-nucleotide ribosomal RNA is filed under the name uncultured bacterium. RNAcentral's name for it is "partial 16S ribosomal RNA". It matches the Rfam family "Bacterial small subunit ribosomal RNA", at positions 355 to 511 of the family's 1533-position model. The record is from RNAcentral.
UAGGGAAUCUUCGGCAAUGGACGAAAGUCUGACCGAGCAACGCCGCGUNAGUGAAGAAGGUUUUCGGAUCGUAAAACUCUGUUGGUAGAGAAGAACGUUGGUGAGAGUGGAAAGCUCAUCAAGUGACGGUAACUACCCAGAAAGGGACGGCUAACUACGUGCCAA